Aotus nancymaae (Ma's night monkey) is the source of this 70-nucleotide small nucleolar RNA. Lineage: Eukaryota; Metazoa; Chordata; Mammalia; Primates; Aotidae. The record is from Ensembl.
AUACUAUGACAGUUGCAUAGUUCAACAGACUGAAUCAUGAAGAGAUGUAUACCAUCUGUCUGAUGUAUCU